UGGGGAAUCUUGGACAAUGGGGGCAACCCUGAUCCAGCCAUGCCGCGUGGGUGAAGAAGGCCUGCGGGUUGUAAAGCCCUUUCAGCGGGGAAGAAAGGUUUGGGAUGAAGAGUCCUGAGUCUUGACGUUACUCGCAGAAGAAGCACCGGCUAACUCCGUGCCAGCAGCCGCGGUAAUACGGAGGGUGCGAGCGUUAAUCGGAAUCACUGGGCGUAAAGCGCGCGUAGGCGGCCGAAUGAGUCAGCUGUGAAAGCCCCGGGCUUAACCUGGGAAUGGCAGUUGAUACUGUUCGGCUCGAGUCUGUCAGAGGGGGGUGGAAUUCCAGGUGUAGCGGUGAAAUGCGUAGAGAUCUGGAGGAACACCAGUGGCGAAGGCGGCCCCCUGGGGCGAGACUGACGCUGAGGUGCGACAGCGUGGGGAGCAAACA
RNAcentral lists this ribosomal RNA (427 nucleotides) under uncultured Chromatiaceae bacterium. Its description in RNAcentral is "partial 16S ribosomal RNA". It matches the Rfam family "Bacterial small subunit ribosomal RNA", at positions 355 to 774 of the family's 1533-position model. Lineage: Bacteria; Pseudomonadati; Pseudomonadota; Gammaproteobacteria; Chromatiales; Chromatiaceae. The record is from RNAcentral.